This 723-nucleotide long non-coding RNA is filed under the name Heterocephalus glaber (naked mole-rat). Its description in RNAcentral is "lncRNA (ENSHGLG00000034295.1)". Lineage: Eukaryota; Metazoa; Chordata; Mammalia; Rodentia; Bathyergidae. The record is from RNAcentral.
CAGGAAGUGUACUAAGCACUGGAGAUAUGGAAAUGAUAUGAUUAUGAAUGAUAUAUACAUGUACAUAUAUCUAUAUACUAUACACAUUAUAAAAUAUACUCUCACAUGAAAAUUAAAAAAGAAUAACACAAAAAUGGUUGUAAGUAGAAGUUCUGAAAUUAUCUUCAUGCACCCCAGUGGAUGAUUUUGGCUAUCCCUGGAUUGUAAAUAAUUCCUACUUGGAAAUUAUUGGCCAAAUCAGGUGUGAGCAAAUUGAGAGAGAAAAUGCCAAAUUGAACUGCUGACGGCUUCCAGGAGAGGAGUAUUACUACAAAGCUGAGAUAAAGACAUGGAGCUCAAAGACAGAGUUGUCCAAGUUCUUUGGGAAGAGAAAAUAAGCAGCUUCCUCCAGAGAGGAGACAUCUAGCUGAGGCCUGGCCACAAGUAUCUUUCAUUUCUUGAUCAUAGUGAUUGGAUCAUGGAUGGGCAUAUGCUACAAAUCAGAGUGAAGAAUAGUAAAAUCUUGACAAACUGUAUUAAAAUUGGCCCAUGAAUGUCUUUUGGAGAGCAUGUAAGUUAAGCAAAGAAGAAAUCAAGGAACAGGCAUUCUAAUAAUUAGGAGUCCUUUAUCCAAUGAGUCUUUAAAUGUUUGUUCAACAUCUGUUUAGAAAAAAAUGAACUUAUUUCAUGGCAAGAAAAACUCAUUUUCAUGAAUAAUUUUCUUCCAUUUAUAAAAAUGGUCCU